AUGUAUUUUUUCCUACAUUAACACCAAUAGCAAAACCAAUAGCCGUGAAAAGAUAAAUGGCAGGCAAUCGAUCUCACACUUGUAUUUCAAACAUACACCGGCAGGUCUAGACAGACCUACUGAUGAAAUUUUGAGUCCCUUAAUUUCGCCAACAUAACAAAAAAAAACUGAAACUAUACUUUUGUGAUCAACAAGUGAGAUCCAAUGCCGAACGUCACUCAUGCGGCCAUUUAUAUUUUAACUCAACAGGAGAAUUUUACGGGUUUGAAGUUUUGGUGUAAGUCCCCCAGCCAACCAUCGCUUUUUGAAUGAAGUUAAACGUGUUUUUCAUGGCUUUAGGGCAGUCCAAGUGUACGGCAUAUGAUAGCCCAAACAAGAGGCAAAGUGCUUGAGGUAGGUUUAGGAGAUCAUCCAUAACAAUGAUUGCAGUAGACGCUGCGUCAAGGUGGAGUCGAUUUGGAGAGCGCAGUACAUCUUCACCGAUGACUUGUGCCCAGGCAUCAUCACCCAAUGCCAGUGGAUCAAAAUCCAUGCAGUGUCUUUCUUGCUUCCGUUUCUGAGGCAGCGAUCCACCUCACAUGGACCGGAUGUUGGGUUCUGCGUUGUUGUUCGGACCAUUGCCAAAUUUUGGCAAAGUGUUGUACGUUAACUUUACUUGAACCAAUCGGUAUGGCUUUUUUCCACUUUCAAUAAACUGUUACUUCGUAAAAGUGAGUAAGAAAGGAUAUUUUUGACAGCUGAGUAAAGUUGACUAAUUAAAUGUAAGUCAGGACAACUAUUACAUUUUACAGUGUACAAGGUAAACCAGUAUAUAUCUGUUUGUGGAAUACAUUGAUAAAUAGAAUAAGAAAUAUUCUGUAAACAAAUAACAAAAUAAAAGCCCCAAGAUAUUUAUUAUUUAGAAAAAUUAAAACUAUUAUCAUUAUCCAGAUAUAAAUAUUGAGCUUUUGGGGGUCAUAUUGACCCUGUUUACACUUUACAUCUUCCUUUUCUCAGUGCGGUGCGUUCAAUUUGAAUCUAAAAUGUCUCCCAACAGUUUCAUUACAUAAAACUGCAUACGUUUUAUAUUUUCGGAAUAGAAUCGGAAAUUGUACUUUUUUGAGGAGAUAUAUAUAGUUUUGCAGAAAAAGAACAAACUCCCAUGUAAGAAUAUUAUAUUAUUCACAGAAUGUCUAUCAUGCAUUCAAAUCAAGGUAGGAGACGUGUGGAAGUCGGCUGUGUGGCUGCAGCGUCCUCAUGUGGACUCAUCUAUAAUAGCUCAGGUGUCCGUUUGGUCAAAAGAAAGAAAUUGUUGAAGAUGGAGCAGUUUGCUGAGACCUUUUGAUCUUUCACCAAUGACCUUUUGUUAUUUCAGCAACCAGAGGAACCUCACGGGAAACGAGUCCAGCACGUUUCCCCCCGGUAAACAUUAUCCUUGACGCACAGUGGCCAGCAUGGGAGCUGAGCCGGGUGGGCAGGUGGGGGCGGAAGCGGCGGUGAAUAAGACACCGACUAAAACUCUCACCAUGGAAACAGAAGAUGCAGGCAAAAUGGCACCGACCACCCAAACACCAGAAAUCUGUUUGUGUCCGACUCCCUGAACACCAAACAUGAAACUCCUGAUCGACGACACCACACUUCGGACCGUGUUUCCCUCGACUUGUUGGACUUGUGUCAUACUUUGUUGCCCUAGAGGACACCGGGCACGUGCACAGACAUUUUGGGAGGCAGGUGCUCAAACUAAAACAAAAGGGCACCCAUCGCCAAAAUUAAGUAAAAAUACUAAUAAAGUAAACAAAUAAAAAAACACAGUAGGAUAUUUUGUUUGUCCUUCUGCUUUUGAAAUCUCUCUUUUCUUAGCAUUUAAUUCAAUCCAAUUUAUUUAUUUUGUAUAGCCCAAAGUCGCAAAUUACAAGAAGCCUGUGGAAUUACACAGAAGUCUGCGGGUGGUGCUGCAAAUUUUGCAUAUGAGAAACGAUGUUGUGCAUAAUAAUCAAAAGCUGACAACACACACACACACAUUUUUUGUACUGUUUUAGCAUAAGCAGCAUUACACUAAUGGUAUACCACAACAUCCCUCACCAGACUGUCAUGUAACUCAACUUAAAACUCAAUAUUAAACAAAACUAGUGACCGUGUCUAAUUUGUAAAACUGUCAUUACAUUUUCUGCCUGUGUGUCUGCAUCUCUCUCUUCAUUAAACAUGACAGCUGGACAAAAGGCUUUGAAAUCA
Molecule: non-coding RNA, 2211 nt
Organism: Gasterosteus aculeatus aculeatus (three-spined stickleback)
Lineage: Eukaryota; Metazoa; Chordata; Actinopteri; Perciformes; Gasterosteidae
Source: RefSeq, a predicted model, not a curated record